AUCUUCUAUCAAAGAUAUUCAAAAGUCCACUUCAUUCUCUUCUAACGAAGAAAACGUCCCAUCAAAAUUCCUAAUCUGCAUGGACAUCGCGAAAACGAUCUACAACCGAGUUGGUCGGAAAAUGUCUCUGUUCACCAGCAAGCUGAUGGAUUAUUUAUUCUCUGCGGCGUAUUUAAUGGAUCAUCGUUUGACUGAUAAUAUGAUGAAUAGUGAGAAGAAAGUAGCUGAUAAGGAACAAAUCAGCCAACUUAUAAAUUGCGUGACGAGUUUCUUUCCAGAGGAAAAAGAGAGCGCCAUACGCGCAGUAAUCCGACAGAAAUUCAACAACGCCUGCAAGACGCAACAACGCGCAACAUCAGCUAAAAA
Daphnia pulicaria is the source of this 366-nucleotide long non-coding RNA. RefSeq lists it as uncharacterized. Lineage: Eukaryota; Metazoa; Arthropoda; Branchiopoda; Diplostraca; Daphniidae. The transcript is spliced from 2 exons. The record is from RefSeq and is a predicted model, not a curated record.